CGAAAUGUUGUAAAAUGCGGAUAAUAUAGCUUUGCGAAGUUUGCCGUUUUUCAGUCACAUUUUGUAUUACGCACGGGAAAUUGACAGCCCAAUCGGGUGUUGGGGCAUCAAUUUCCCGUUUGUAAUACAAAAUGACCGAAAAUUGCAAAUUUCGCAAGGCUAUAUUAUCCGCAAUUUACAACAUUUCGCAACGAAACUUUGG
This 202-nucleotide long non-coding RNA is filed under the name Paramuricea clavata. Lineage: Eukaryota; Metazoa; Cnidaria; Anthozoa; Malacalcyonacea; Plexauridae. The record is from RNAcentral.